Molecule: non-coding RNA, 71 nt
Organism: Ictidomys tridecemlineatus (thirteen-lined ground squirrel)
Lineage: Eukaryota; Metazoa; Chordata; Mammalia; Rodentia; Sciuridae
Source: Rfam
GGGGAUAUAGCUCAGUUGGUAGAGUGUUUGCCUCCCAUACAAGGUCCUGGGUUCAAUCCCCAGCACCACCA